This 253-nucleotide ribosomal RNA is filed under the name uncultured bacterium. RNAcentral's name for it is "partial 16S ribosomal RNA". It matches the Rfam family "Bacterial small subunit ribosomal RNA", at positions 524 to 776 of the family's 1533-position model. The record is from RNAcentral.
UACGUAGGGGGCAAGCGUUAUCCGGAUUCACUGGGUUUAAAGGGUGCGUAGGUGGGUUGGUAAGUCCGUGGUGAAAUCCCCGAGCUUAACUCGGGAACUGCCGUGGAUACUAUCAACCUUGAAUAUUGUGGAGGUAAGCGGAAUAUGUCAUGUAGCGGUGAAAUGCUUAGAUAUGACAUAGAACACCGAUAGCGAAGGCAGCUUGCUACACAAUCAUUGACACUGAGGCACGAAAGCGUGGGGAGCAAACAGG